This 440-nucleotide ribosomal RNA is filed under the name uncultured bacterium. RNAcentral's name for it is "partial 16S ribosomal RNA". It matches the Rfam family "Bacterial small subunit ribosomal RNA", at positions 338 to 795 of the family's 1533-position model. The record is from RNAcentral.
CCUACGGGGGGCAGCAGGGGGGGAUAUUGCACAAUGGGGGAAACCCUGAUGCAGCGACGCCGCGUGAGUGAAGAAGUAUUUCGGUACGUAAAGCUCUAUCAGCAGGGAAGAAAAUGACGGUACCUGACUAAGAAGCCCCGGCUAACUACGUGCCAGCAGCCGCGGUAAUACGUAGGGGGCAAGCGUUAUCCGGAUUUACUGGGUGUAAAGGGAGCGUAGACGGCAGCGCAAGUCUGGAGUGAAAUCCCAUGGCUUAACCAUGGAACUGCUUUGGAAACUGUGCAGCUAGAGUGCAGGAGAGGUAAGCGGAAUUCCUAGUGUAGCGGUGAAAUGCGUAGAUAUUAGGAGGAACACCAGUGGCGAAGGCGGCUUACUGGACUGUAACUGACGUUGAGGCUCGAAAGCGUGGGGAGCAAACAGGAUUAGAUACCCCUGUAGUC